RNAcentral lists this ribosomal RNA (492 nucleotides) under uncultured bacterium. RNAcentral describes it as "bacterial SSU rRNA". It matches the Rfam family "Bacterial small subunit ribosomal RNA", at positions 8 to 512 of the family's 1533-position model. The record is from RNAcentral.
AGAGUUUGAUCCUGGCUCAGGACGAACGCUGGCGGCGCGCUUAACACAUGCAAGUCGUGCGGUACCGAUGGCAAGUCUUCUUGACGAGCCUUCGGUAUAGCGGCGGACGGGUGAGUAACACGUGAGUAGCUGUCCUAGGGAGGGGGAUAACGCCUGGAAACGGGUGCUAAAACCCCAUAAGCCUCGAAAGAGGUAAAAGUGCAUCACUGCAGUCCUAGGGUGUGCUCGCGGCCUAUCAGCUAGUUGGUGAGGUAAGGGCUCACCAAGGCCAAGACGGGUAGCCGGCCUGAGAGGGUGUACGGCCACACUGGAAUUGAGAUACGGUCCAGACUCCUACGGGAGGCAGCAGUGGGGAAUUUUGGGCAAUGGGCGAAAGCCUGACCCAGCGACGCCGCGUUGGGGAUGAAGUCCUUCGGGGCGUAAACCCAUGUUGUAGGGGAAGAAGAAAGUGACGGUACCCUACGAGAAAGCCCCGGCCAACUACGUGCCAGC